Molecule: ribosomal RNA, 211 nt
Filed under: Dermocybe semisanguinea
Lineage: Eukaryota; Fungi; Basidiomycota; Agaricomycetes; Agaricales; Cortinariaceae
Description: partial 28S ribosomal RNA
Rfam family: Eukaryotic large subunit ribosomal RNA
Source: RNAcentral
GUGACCUCAAAUCAGGUAGGACUACCCGCCGAACUUAAGCAUAUCAAUAAGCGGAGGAAAAGAAACUAACAAGGAUUCCCCUAGUAACUGCGAGUGAAGCGGGAAAAGCUCAAAUUUAAAAUCUGACAGUCUUUGGCUGUCCGAGUUGUAAUCUAGAGAAGUGUUAUCCGCGCUGGACCGUGUACAAGUCUCCUGGAAUGGAGCGUCAUAG